RNAcentral lists this transfer RNA (60 nucleotides) under Leptochilus ellipticus. Its description in RNAcentral is "partial tRNA-Leu". The record is from RNAcentral. Lineage: Eukaryota; Viridiplantae; Streptophyta; Polypodiopsida; Polypodiales; Polypodiaceae. RNAcentral also lists the same sequence under 12 other names.
UAGGACGAAAAUCCGUUGGUUUCACGGGACCGUGAGGGUUCGAAUCCCUCUAUCCCCAGC